AACGACUCUCGGCAACGGAUAUCUCGGCUCUCGCAUCGAUGAAGAACGUAGCGAAAUGCGAUACUUGGUGUGAAUUGCAGAAUCCCGUGAACCAUCGAGUCUUUGAACGCAAGUUGCGCCCGAAGCCAUCUGGUUGAGGGCACGUC
RNAcentral lists this ribosomal RNA (146 nucleotides) under Cyrtandra sp. Plunkett 1875. Its description in RNAcentral is "5.8S ribosomal RNA". It matches the Rfam family "5.8S ribosomal RNA". From Rfam's summary of the family: 5.8S ribosomal RNA (5.8S rRNA) is a component of the large subunit of the eukaryotic ribosome. It is transcribed by RNA polymerase I as part of the 45S precursor that also contains 18S and 28S rRNA. Functionally, it is thought that 5.8S rRNA may be involved in ribosome translocation. RNAcentral also lists the same sequence under 2 other names. The record is from RNAcentral. Lineage: Eukaryota; Viridiplantae; Streptophyta; Magnoliopsida; Lamiales; Gesneriaceae.